CAAUUUGCGAUCCAUAAUAAGCAAAACCAUUCGUACUAUGAAAAAAAUACAAUUGAACCAAGAGAAUUAAACAAUCACUCCUACAAAUCAAAACCCCCAAAUUAUUUCUACAAUGAACCCUAAUUUCAUUUUCUCGCAAAUUACAGCAUAAUUAACACACAAUGAACCCUAACUAUUUACGAAUUACAUGACUAUUGCCAGAUACGACCUGAAUUAUGCAUUUAAGUCAACAACAUAUAGAUUAAUUUACGCCUUAUUUUUGAAAGAUAAAUUAGGGUUUCUAAAGUGCUAUUGACGCAAUUACCUGAUUUGAUAUCUACGUCCCCCAAACAAUGGUGGUAAAAUCAAACAAUUUCGCCAAUUUGUUAGUCAGAAUUCGCAAAAUGUGAAGCAAUUUUGUGUAAUCAGCUCAUCAAUUCUACAUUAGUGAAGGAUGUCGUAAGUAUAUAAAGCAGUUUGGAAAAUAUAGCCGUUAUUGUGGGCCCAGCUAACAGAUCCUCUAACGUUGUUCCAAUUUAGGUGGUGAAAGCAAAAUUUUUAUUUUUUAACAGGUGUUAUAAUUAAACUUCGAAAUCUAAAGGUGUUAAAAACAAAAUUAGGUCUUUUAACAGGUGUUUUUUUCUAAUUUAGCCUUAUUAUUAUGGCAGGAAUUAGGAAGAAAAAUGCUGAUUAUAGUAUUACGAUGAGAAUAUUAGCUAAUUGAACGGUAAUUUCCACUUUCGAGAGGUGGAUUCUCUCCUAAUAUGAGCUUUCGAGAGGCUCAUUAUCUCCCAAUAACAAACCACAACAAUAUUCAACAUGAUGAUUAUUCAUCCUAAUGAGCUUAGUUUUAAAAAGUGCGCCUAGGCGUAGCGAGGCGGCCAUCAAAUCGCCUCACAAUUUUGUAGCGUGGCGAAGUUAAGGAGGCACGAGGCGUAGCGAGGCGGCCAUCAAAUCGCCUCGCAGCCUUGUAGCGUGGCGAAAUUAAGGAGGCGCACGCCUCAAGGCUAAGGCGCUGAGGCAUGAGGCGCUAUGAGGCGACGCUUUCUAGAUUUGAGGCGAUUUUGAGACACGUGCUACCAAAAGUAAUAUUUUUUUAAAAAAAAUACACAAACUUUAAUUAAAGAAAAGGAAGAGAGAGAAAACAUAUCUAUUUGAAAACUAAAACCCUAGCUUCCCGAAACCACCCAACUGAUGUUGGGUUUCAGCCGUUUCUCGCCGGAAACCCGCCGAUUCUCGCUGGAAACGACCCGAGCUGUGGUGGAUCUCGCCGAGAACCAGGAACAUGAAUGAAGAGUCCCUUCCCUCCACCGGAUCAGCCGGCUAGAAAAUAUGGAAAACCGAAACCUAAUAAUAGAGUUAAUUGGCAUUAUAGUUUUUGUGGUAAAGUGACUACGGGAGGGGCACAUCGUUUAAAACAACACUUAGUUGGUGGCUUUAGAAAUGUCACUAAAUGUCCCGAACAUGUGAGGGACGAAGUUAAGACUUUUAUGCUAAACAAAGUUCAAGAAAAAGUGGAUAGUCAAAUGAUGUCAAGUAUGUCCCAACUUGAAACGGAUGAUGUUGCUGAAGAAUAGGAAGAUGUUGUCACAAAACGUGAAAAAGUUGUUAAAAAACCUAGGCACAAAGGUCCUUUGGAUAUGUUUAUCACUUCAACUCCUAAAGACGCAAGCCAGGAAGGAAAGGAAAGGAAUUUUUGGUGCUUGUGAUAAUGAGUUAAGGGAGAAAACUUGUAGGACAAUUGGUAAGUGGUUUUAUGAUGCGGGAAUUCCACUCAAUGCGGCUACCUAUGCAAUGAUUGAAGCUAUUGGUCAAUAUGGUCCCGGAUUAAGACCACCAGUAUGUAUGAGCUUAGAGUUCCAAUCAUGAACAAAGAAGUGAAAGAUGUUGAGAUGCAAGUAGAGGAGAACAAGAAAGAGUGGGCAAGUAAAGGUUGUUCAAUUUUAUCCGAUGGAUGGCGUGAUUCGGUUGUCCAAAAGGAUAUUAUAAACUUUCUUGUCAAUUCUCCUAAGGGUUUUGUGUUCAUAAGAUCCUUAUAUGUUUCAUACGUUGUGAAAAAUGCAGUGUUAUUGUAUAAACUUCUAGAUAAGAUGGUGGAUGAAAUUGGAGAGGAAAAUGUUGUUCAAGAUGUGACGGACAAUGCAUCCAAUUAUGUCAAAGCCGGAAAAAAAAAUUUGAAUCUAAGAGACCUCAUCUUUAUUGGACUCCUUGUGGUGCUCAUUGUAUUGAUUUGAUGUUAGAAGACAUUGGCACAACGUUACACGGUACGUGGGACGUUUUGGAACGUGGGAUGGGAACGGGAACGGGGUAUGUAGGGUAAAGAGUUCCCGAAACGUAUGGCUCUAGUUCUUGAAUUUUUUUUUAAUUAGAAUUUCUUUUUUUUUAGUAGACUUUUAAACGUAUUGGACUUAAAUUGGAAAGUAAGUACUUCUUAAUCUACUGUUAAAAAUAAAUAUUGUACACUACUAUUAGUACAUAACUAAAAACUAGGCACUAAAAAUAAAUAAUAAUAAAAGGAAAAGAUAAACAGAUGCACAAUGAGGAAAAACUAGGCAGUAAAGAUAAAAUAAUAGUAAAAAGAAAAGAUAAAUAAGGAAGGGUCCACCAGUUUGUGUUUUAUUAAUUAGGUUAGAGUCAUUUACAGCCGUCAAUGACCUUCUUCUUCCUUCUACACACUUCUUGCUUCAUUUUCCUCCAUUAAUAAAACUUGAAGCUUUAAUUAAAUAUAAAAAACUCAAGAAAAUAGAAUAUUAUUUCGCCUAUAAAUGGAUACUCCAUCAAACACAAACCAGAACGCGAACCACCACGAACCGGAACGAGUAAGUUCUGCGUUUCGGGACACGCGUCCUGGUUCACAGAACGCGCCAUCGUCCCGCGUUCCGUGUAUCAAUGCAUUGGCAAACUACCAAGAGUUUUGAAUGCACUAAAGUAGUGCAUGUUCAUCAAUGGCUAUAUUUAUAGUCAUACCUCUCUUGUGAACUUGAUGAGGAAGUUCACAUAACAAAGAAAUUUGCAUAGGCCAUCAAAUACUACGUUUGCAACAUCUUUUAUUACACUAGCUCAAUUUCAUAAGCAAAAAGGCAACUUGAGAAAGAUGAUAACCUCUCAAGAAUGGAGUGCUUCCAAGUGGCAAAAAGAAGCAGGAGGAAAAAGAAUUGCAACUUAUAUUUUGCAAGCAACCUUCUGGAAGAAUGUGGUGUAUGCUCUUACGCUAACAAGUCCCCUUGUUAAAGUGCUUAGACUUGUUGAUGGGGAGAAAAAGCCUCCAAUGGGAUACAUUUAUGAGCUAAAGAGGCUGUAGCGAAGACUUUUGAAUUAAGAGAAGAGCACUACAUUAAGGUAUUUGAGAUCAUUGAUAAAAGGUGGGAUAAUCAACUUCAUCAUCCUUUGCAUGCAGCGGGUUUUUAUCUAAAUCCGGAACUUCAUUAUGAUCAUUCCGCAAAUGUAAAUUGUGAGGAAGUUUUGAAAGGAUUGAAUGAUUGUAUUGAAAGGCUAGUUCCGGUUGUGGAAACUCAAGAUAAAAUACUUGCAGAGUUGGAUGAAUUUAAGAAUGCUACCAGUCUCUUUGGUUGUACAAUGGCAAUUAGGCAAAGGAAGACCAAAUCUCCGGCGGAUUGGUGGUCGGCUUAUGGUGGAACAACUCCUAAUCUCCAAAAGUUUGCCACCAAAAUUCUUAGCCUCACUUAUAGGGCUACAGGUUGUGAAAGAAAUUGGGGUGUUUUUCAACAGCUUCAUUCUAAAAAGAGGCAUCGAUUGGCACAAAGUCGAUUAAAUGACAUGGUUUAUGUAAAGUAUAAUCAUGCAUUGCAACGGCAAUACAAGAGGAAAGACACUAUUGAUCCCAUUGUCUUAAAUGAAAUUGAUGAAAGCAAUGAGUGGCUACUUGGAAGAAUGGAAGACGAGGCAGAGGAGAAUGAUUUUGUAUUUGAAGGGGAGGACUUGACUUGGAGUACAGUUAGUAAAGCCUCCGAGCUAAUGAACCUUUCUAUGCUACUAGAGGAGCAUCUAAAGUUGAUAAAGGAAAGGGAAUUGCUAGUGGCUCCAUUUCUAAACCACGUCAUUCAAUUGUGAUAGAUGAUGAUGAUAAUGAGAAUUAUACUGAUGAGAUGGAAGAGGAUGUUAGUGGAGGUGAUUCUUAUCAAGAAGAGGAGGAUGUGCAUGAUGAUUCAUCGGAUGAGGAGAUGGAUUGUUAGUGUCUUAGUAUGCCAUAUAACACGCUUAAAGACCUACUAUGUUUGCUUUUCUUUCUACUUGAUUUACUUUUUAUGUUGAAUGUGUGAUUUGCUUUUUAGUUAAAGAGUUUCAUGCCAUUAGCGUCUUUUAAGGGUAUCUUGUAGUUCCUUUGUUAAUUUAUGCAUUCAUAAUAUGUUAUUUUGAUUAUUUAAGGCUUAUAUCUUGGUAUAGAAGUAAUUUAUAAGGCUUUGGGCACUUAUGGUGCGCCUCGUAUCCAAGAGGCGCGCGCCUCCGCUUUGCGCCUCGCGCUUAGGCUUCGAGGACCCUUUGCGCCUCGCGCUUUUUAAAACCAAGCUAAUGAGGCCUAUUUAUAGAAAAACUCUCAUAACAAACUCUAACUUAUUCUCCAAGCUACUAAUAAUAGGUUAUGACUAACAUACCCUUCCCCUAAUAUUGAUUCCUUGCACUUGCCACGUGUUUCAUUUUAAUUGGUCUGUUUCUUAAAAAAUAUAUAAAAAUAACAAAAAAAAAUUAUAAAAAAAAGAAAAGCGCCCUUCCCAAUCCCCCACAUGGACAAUCUCCAGUGCCAGGCAUUACACCCAUCCCGCCUUCCCCGUUGAAAGCAGCUACCCUUCCCUUUCUCACAAUAGAAACGGUGGAGGUGGGUUUCAAAGUGCAUACAAGUGUAGGAUUUCGAUUCAGUGCGUAAUUAAGUGUUCAAAAAUGGGGUGAGAUUUACUCCGGUGCGGUGGGUUUCAAACUUGGGUGGGAUUUUUGGCCAAUGUGCCGGUUUUCGGGAUCUGGUGGGGAUGGGGUUUUGGUUCGCGGCGUGGGAAUCAGGUUGGGAGGGAUGAAAUUUUAGGGUGGGGAUGAGUGUGGAGGUGGUUAAUGUGUGCUUGUAUUAGUAAGGGUUUCGGUAUGGUUUUGUUUAAUGAUGGGGGUGGGUCUCAGCCAAUUUAGUGGUAGGUGGGAUUCUGGGUUAGGGGUUUCGAGGUGGGGAGGGUCAGAUCAUUCGAUAGGUGCGGUUAUUGAGAUGGAGCCACGGAGGUUUGGUGGGGUUAGGAUUUUGGGGUUGCAAAGUGGUAAUGUUCAAGUAGUGCUCAUGGUGGGUUAUCCAAAGAAGAAGAUGAUGAGGUGGAAAAAGAAAGAAUAAAGAAUAAAAUUAUUUUGAAAAAAAUAAUAACUUGUUCAACAGGUAAAAAGGUUUAUUUUGAGAGGAUGGUGUUAAAAGGUGGGAUUGUUUUGAGAUUACUCAAAGGUAGGAUUGUUUCCGGCAGAAAUGUCAAAGGUGGGAUAUUCUUUUCCAUUUUUCCUUUUAUUUUAAGAAAAGAUGGAGAUGAAGCUGAAGUAUGGCUACUGGCUCGCUAUCAGGGAAGUGAAUGAAGGUUAGAGAUAACUCAGGCAAGGGUCUAAAAGACUCCAAGUGAUUACUUUUACUUUUGAGUUUGGCCCUACCUAAGAUAAACAUAAUGGGACAAUUUUGUAGUAGAACGACAAUAGUUAGGACUGAUAAUUUCAAUUUUUCCUUUCGACAUUACCACCCUUUUAAAGCUCUAUAAUACUACCCCUAUGUGCUUCUCUGUGUUUAUGUUUGUCCUACUUUGAGUAAAAUCUGUUUUUACAGUUGGAUUAUAUGAUACUACCAUCCUAUGUGGAUAGGUUUUUUUAUCUUUUAAACAAAUUAUUUUUUUUCUUUUAAUAAAAACAAGUUUAUUUUAGUAGCUAUAGUCCUAGUAUAAUUAGACUUCUACCAAGAAUUGGUUUAAAUGUCUAUAUUCAUUAUAGGCGUACGUUUUAUUCUUUUUCCUUAUGUGUUAAACUUUCCUAGGUUUAUUUAUAUUAGUAUAGGCGUGAUUUGUAAUAUCUAAAAAGCUAUUUUUCCUUUUUUUGUGUAAUUAUUUUGGCUAGGAACUUCAAAAUCCAGAAUAUAUUAUUCCAAAUUUAAUUACUCUUGCUUUUAUAAAACAAAGUUAGACCAAAAUCCUUAAUUUAGGCAAAUUAAACAAAAUUUAGAGAGUAACAUUGAAGUUAAUUUGUAAAUACCCAAAGCCAUUCCUAAAUCGUGAGUAAAGCCCUAGGUCAGAUUUAGAACCCUCAGUUUCCUUUUUUGCGAGUGAACCUUGAACACUUCCUGUGUGUUGUAAUGGUGCUCGAUCAUCAUCAACGCCAAACAGUCAACAACCUUAGCACUUUACAUCCUUCAAUCUCCCCCACAUGCUCCUUCCCUUAAAAACCAAAAAAAAAAAAAAAAAAAAAAAAAAAAAAAAAAAAAAAAAAAAAAAAAAAAAAAAAAAAAAAAACCACUUUUUUUCUUACUCUCCGUAAGGCCGUAGAGCAGAGUUGUACAGUGAAUAAUAGUCUUUGCUAUUAGUACUCCAACACAUGAUGCACAUGUGAAAUUGCUAUGGUAUAAGUCUUAAUAGUCCAGACUCCAGAACUUUGGUAUUAAAUAGUUUUUACUGAUUAAAAACUUCCACUUUCAUGAAUUAUCAAAUACAAAGUCACAUAAGAAUUUGCAACAAAAAUCUCCCAAUUCCCUUUCUAGUUUUAAUCUUGUAUGUAAGUUACAGAUUUUGUUUUCUAAAGUGUGACACUCACACUAAGGGGUUAAUUAUCAAAGGGAAAGGGUAUCAUUCCCUUUAUUGUUGUUUGUUUAUCCGUUUUUGUCAUUCUCUUUCCCCAUAUUUAUUUUUGAGUUUACUCAUUUUUAUUCCCAAUUGAUUCCUCACCCCCCUAGCCUUUUGCAUUCCCUUUCCCUAACCACCACUUCACCACCAGCCACCACCUUCUAACCUAUCUCCACCACCUAGCCGCCCACCGACUCCCCCGGUAAACCCUCAUCUCCCACGAAAAUAUUCCCCCACCACGACCACCCUCUCUUUCUCCUGUCCAGCCACCCCCCACAACGCCCAUCGCCGCCCCUCCCCCACCCCUCGCCGCCCCCUCCUCUCCAUCCCCCCCUCCAAAAACCAAUUCCUAAAAACCCUCCCCCACCAACGUAAAAACCCUAAAACCCCCUCCACCACGGAAAUUCCUUGCUCCAAUUGAAAAAAAAUUCCUUGGAGCCACCCACGGAAAUCCAUGAGGGGAGAUAUUCCAGUCUCCCUAUAGAAGAGAGAUCCGCCUUAUAAAUCAUAACCUUCUAAGACCUCCUUCAUGUCCACUGUCGCAAUACCACAAUUAUUAUACUACAAGCUCAAUGAAUCUUUUCAUAUUCAGUUCCGUAGAAUAAUAGUACAAGAAAAAAUGAGGUCACAUUUUAAGACCUUUAACAACAUCAAUUUGUUUCCUAUGUCACCUUUCAAGAACAAUACGCUAAUCAUGUUUAGUUGGCUUCAAUAAUUAGUCAUAAGCUAACUUCCCCAAAAAUUAAACAAUGGUGAAUUAGAAGAUGAUGAGUGACAUUUAUGCCACUAUUUCACCUCUUUUUGCUAAGGAUUGAAACACAUUUGUCACUUGUUUGCGCCUUCUCUAGCUAUUUUUACAUUUUAGUUAUAUUUGCUUUUUCUCGUGUUUUUCCUCUUCUUUUAGCUUUUCUUGUGUUUUCUAGCUUUACUAUCUUUGUUUUGUAGGUUUUUGGCACUUUAGGAUGAUGCUAGAUGACCAAUGUUUGGCUAAGGAGAGGAGAGAUGCUGAUUAGAGAGGGCGCGCUACCUCCCUAUGGACUGCGAGCGCGGUAGUCCCAGCCGUAGGCGCGGAAAAAAAGAGUUUUGGAGUUUCCAUUUGGAACCUGUAGAAGGCUGCCCGCGCCCCACACCACCGUGGACACGACAUUACAGGCCGCGGGCGCGGUUACCUGAUUUUGUCCUUAAAUUGCUUGAAAUUAUUGUUGUGCACCUUUAAUUCCAUUACUUGAGUACUAAAUUGGAUGCAUGGAAAUGAUCUAGUUUAGUGUUGAUCUAUUUCAUCAAUAUGCUUGAACAAUUGCAUGGGAAUGAAUUAUUUUGGUAGAAUUUAUAUUCCUUGG
Molecule: long non-coding RNA, 8119 nt
Organism: Chenopodium quinoa (quinoa)
Lineage: Eukaryota; Viridiplantae; Streptophyta; Magnoliopsida; Caryophyllales; Amaranthaceae
Exons: 4
Source: RefSeq, a predicted model, not a curated record